This 555-nucleotide long non-coding RNA is filed under the name Pogona vitticeps (central bearded dragon). Its description in RNAcentral is "lncRNA (ENSPVIG00000003469.1)". Lineage: Eukaryota; Metazoa; Chordata; Lepidosauria; Squamata; Agamidae. The record is from RNAcentral.
AUGGAUGGACUUAUUUCUGAAUGGGAUCUGAAUAGUGAUUCUGUUGCCAUCUUUGCGACCCAAACCUAUUUUAUUCUUUUAAUUCCAGAAGCUGGUGAGCUUGGAGGAGGUGGCUGUAUAUUUCACCAUGGAACAGUGGACAUUGCUGGAUCCAUGGUGUCAUGGAAGCUAAACUGGAAGAAUGUAAUGUGCCUGGAGAUGGAGAAAGUUGAACAGCAGAGAAAGAAAUAUGAAGGAAAAGAAAACGGGGGGAAGAAAACUCUCAUUUCUGAAUAUGCCGGUUUACAUGAAAUCCAAAAGCUGAUAUGUUUUCAAUGUGGAAAGAGCUUCAGCUUGAACAUACACUGAGUGGGGGGACCCACUCAGUAGGGAAUCCAUGCAAAUGUUCAGAGUGUUGAAAUAAUAUCUUGGAAAAGAUUGAUCUUACUCCCCAUCAAAUAACUCAGGCUGCACAAAAACUAUGUAAGCGCUCAGAGUGUGGAAAGAGUUUCGUUGGGAGUGCUGAUUCUACCUAUGGUCCGGGAACCCAUACUGGUGAAAAACCCUAUGAAUGCU